GACGAACGCUGGCGGCGUGCUUAACACAUGCAAGUCGAACGGAAAGGCCUCUUUCGGGGGUACUCGAGUGGCGAACGGGUGAGUAACACGUGAGUAACCUGCCCUUGACUUUGGGAUAACUUCAGGAAACUGGGGCUAAUACCGGAUAGGAGCUCCUGCUGCAUGGUGGGGGUUGGAAAGUUUCGGCGGUUGGGGAUGGACUCGCGGCUUAUCAGCUUGUUGGUGGGGUAGUGGCUUACCAAGGCUUUGACGGGUAGCCGGCCUGAGAGGGUGACCGGCCACAUUGGGACUGAGAUACGGCCCAGACUCCUACGGGAGGCAGCAGUGGGGAAUAUUGCACAAUGGGUGGAAGCCUGAUGCAGCAACGCCGUGUGCGGGAUGACGGCCUUCGGGUUGUAAACCGCUUUCGCUCAUGACGAAGCUUUGUGUGACGGUAGUGGGUAAAGAAGCACCGGCUAACUACGUG
RNAcentral lists this ribosomal RNA (466 nucleotides) under uncultured bacterium. RNAcentral describes it as "partial 16S ribosomal RNA". It matches the Rfam family "Bacterial small subunit ribosomal RNA", at positions 28 to 507 of the family's 1533-position model. The record is from RNAcentral.